GUGGAUAAUGAUUUGAGUUAAUCUUAUUAUAUUCAUGAAGGAGCAGAUUUUCUGGCUUUUGUGCAUUUAUUUGCUUGUUAUUAAAUUUGAAACAAAAUUUUUUCCUUAUGCACUAUCUAGUUCAUUUCAUUUAUAUUCUUAAUCCAAUUGAAUUUCAGAUAGAUGCUCAUCGUGCACCUCUGGCUGCUAUUGUCCUAUGUUCCAAUGGGAAGUACAUAGCAACUGCUUCUGAACAGGGAACCAUAAUCAGAGUCCAUUUGGUUUUUGAUGCAACUAAGGUUUUCAGAGGCUGCCAUUACAGAUGGUCCACAAGAAAGGCAGAAAGCAGUUUGAAUCCAAUGUGGCCCUCACUUUAGAGCUCAUAAGAAAAUUAACUACU
Molecule: long non-coding RNA, 379 nt
Organism: Juglans microcarpa x Juglans regia
Lineage: Eukaryota; Viridiplantae; Streptophyta; Magnoliopsida; Fagales; Juglandaceae
Exons: 2
Source: RefSeq, a predicted model, not a curated record